GCGGUUGUGGCGGAACUGGCAGACGCGCUGUCUUCAGGCGGCAGUGGAGCAAUCCGUGAGAGUUCGAGUCUCUCCAACCGCACCA
This 85-nucleotide transfer RNA is filed under the name Negativicoccus succinicivorans. Its description in RNAcentral is "tRNA-Leu". It matches the Rfam family "tRNA". From Rfam's summary of the family: Transfer RNA (tRNA) molecules are approximately 80 nucleotides in length. Their secondary structure includes four short double-helical elements and three loops (D, anti-codon, and T loops). The record is from RNAcentral. RNAcentral also lists the same sequence under 5 other names. Lineage: Bacteria; Bacillati; Bacillota; Negativicutes; Veillonellales; Veillonellaceae.